Long non-coding RNA from Vicia villosa (hairy vetch), 1501 nucleotides. RefSeq lists it as uncharacterized. Lineage: Eukaryota; Viridiplantae; Streptophyta; Magnoliopsida; Fabales; Fabaceae. The record is from RefSeq and is a predicted model, not a curated record. The transcript has 3 exons.
UUGAGGUGUUUUCUUAAGACUUUCUAUUGAAAAGAUAGUCGAUGUUGAACUUGCAGUUUUCCAGAAAUUAGCAAAUGACCAGUUCUGCCAUGCAAACCAUUGCAUUGUCAUCUCUAUAAGCAGUUAUUAGUAAGCUUUUAGAGCAUAUUGGAUUGGAGAUGGAUCUUCCAUUUAUUAGUAAGCAUUUUUUUGUUGAUUUUGAUGAGUAUAUGAAAUGGAUUACAUGAACUGUUGUAUUUUUGUGGGUGAAUGUGUCUGUAGUGAUGUCGGUGAGUUUGGUUGAUAUUAUUAUUUUAAUCCUUGAUGAAGAUGAUCGUCCUUUGGAGCUUGGUUAGUGCUGAAAUUCAGGAAUUGCUUUUGAAUUUAAGUUUUGUUUUGCACUGCUUUUGAAGUAUUAAUUUAUAUUUCAUAGUUCUGCUACCUUUAACUACUACUUCCUCAUUUGUUAUGCUGUUGAACAAAGCAAGCGGCACAUAGACUAAGGAUUAUAUUUGGAUUAUCUAGAUUGAAAGCUGCUGAGAUUCAAAUCUUUGCUUUGUAGUUAUAUAAUCAGCUUCCAAAACUAAUGCUCAGGUAGAAAAAUACUUAUUUGUAGCAGCUGUAACUAGAUAUGCAGAAUAGACAAUCUAGAUUAAUGGAUGUCAGUGGGAACUCUCAAUGGAGAUAUUUAUCUGCGGGCAUGUCCUGGUGCGUGCGGCUGUUAAUUAUGAGAAACCAAAGUCUGGGUCAAAGUAUCAAUAUGCAGAGUUCAAAUCAACAAGUUAAUUCUGAAUUAGGUGUCAUUGGUCGGGUCUAGGGGAGGUUCGAUUCGAUUAAGGAGUUGUUUGAAUGAUUGAUUGAGGGGAUUAUCAGUUGGUCGCAGCUCCUUCGCUUAUCAAAUAACGUAGCUUUGCAUCUGAAUUCUAUCGCAUCAAGUAAUAUGUAUCCUGAGGCUGAAUGUUUCGAUCGAUGUUUCGAGCCUGCUUUGAAUCAAUGUUGCAGCAUUCAGGGCAACCUUUCAUUCAUGGCAGCAAGGCAGUUUCUAACUGAUAUAUUCCAAAGAGAAGAAUCUUUCAUUAAAAGAACACAAACAAUUAGUAGAAAUGGUUUCCAAAGUCAAGGUUUCCAUUGAUAAGUUAUUUGGUGACUUGAAUAUUAAUGAUUUGAAGUCGGACUUGAAGUCUAGAACAGAAAAUUGAAGCUCUUAGAAAAUGUGGCGUCGUGCCGUUUUAUUGAAAACUUGCCUGGUCACUGAAGGAAGGGUCAGUUUCUAUUCCUUUCACAAGGUUGAACUUCCUGUUAUACCAUGAACUUUUGAUUACAAUCCUUCAUUUCCACUCUUGGAUGACAUGAAAAGGAAGUUAAGGGUUGUAAUGAUAAAAAGGCUGCAUGCAAGAAAUCCAUCAGAAAUUGUCGCGUUUGAAAUGCAGUCUCUCAAUCAGGAUUCUGAAAAGGAUUAUCAUUCUGUAUGUUAAAAACUAGAGUUUUUCUUUUUAUGAUAUUAAUUAUAGCAUUAUUUUUA